CAACACCACCUCCAUACUCCUCACAAUCGAGCUCAGCCAUUAAGUUGGGGUACCCGAUUAAGAAUAGCACUCGACUGCGCCAGAGCUCUUGAGUUCCUGCAUGAACACACAACACCAUCCAUAAUUCACCGUGAUUUCAAGUGCAGUAACAUUCUCUUGGAUCAAAAUUUUAUAGCUAAGGUGUCAGAUUUCGGGUUGGCUAAGAUAGGCUCAGACAAGAUCAACGGUCAGAUUUCAACACGGGUGUUGGGGACCACUGGAUAUUUGGCACCAGAGUUAGUAUUUCAGUAUCUGUUACACAUCUCUUUUCAUAACCAUAAGCAAUAAAUCUGUAUCUUCACAAAAUCAUGCAAAACUGCAGCAGGCUAAAAGUCCCCAUCACGAAGUGUCAUUUUCUCGUCCUUAAAGGCUGUUUGGGAAAAGCAAUUAAAGUUUUAGCCCAAAGAACACAUUCUUUCACACUACUCGCAUCCUAUAUAAAUAUCCACAGCUAUUAGCCUAUUAGUUUAGGGGUAAUCCAAACAGAUCCUUAGUUAUGUAAGGCAAACAAGGUUCUCAAAUUGAACUACUAAUGAUAAUGGAAUGAAAAUUCAAAAUGCAGGUAUGCUUCAACAGGUAAGCUGACAACAAAAUCAGAUGUAUACAGCUAUGGUGUGGUUCUGCUAGAGCUCUUAACAGGCCGUGUACCAGUUGAUAACAAGCGGCCUCCUGGAGAACAUGUUCUUGUUUCUUGGGUCAGUAUCGCAUUAAUCAUAUUAACUGUCAAAGUUUAUAUCAUACUAUAGAAGCUCUUCAGUUUAGAAUUUCGAGAAUAUAUCUUUCUCAAUAUUUAUGAAAUGACUUGGCACCAGACUGUAUCUUUUGCACCAGUAUUAUAUAUUCAUCCUUCAUAAGAUAUCCACCACCAUAGCAGAGGAAGGAAGGAAAGAAAAAACUAACACCCCACAUGGCAAUCAAUGCACAAAACGAGUUGAUUCGCAAAACCAAACACACCUUUUAGUUAAAAAUUCACAACCCAAAAAUCUUUAAUAGUAGUUUGACAAAUUUCUGGCCUACUUCCUCCACAACUAUCUGCAAGCAAGAUUUCUUUAUAAAUUUGGAAAACUAUAAAUUUCAUAUAACGUUCUCUCUCCCAUUAAUAGUGAAAAAAUUGUACCUUCAAUUUUCUGGUGUGAGUUGAAGUCUUAAAGACAACUAAAGCUUUUAGUCAAGAAAGAUUGCAGAAUAAAAGCCAGUCACGCGUGCACACACAUUCACAUGAACUAUUAAAAACUAUUCCAAAGGGGUAAUAUUUUGCUUUUAGAAAAGGGUCAAAGUUAAAUAUAGUUUCAUUAGAGUAGCAAUUGAUCCCCCUUAUUGAAAAUGUGGCUCUAUUAAUGUCUAUAACCGUUUUCCCUGUUAUUAUUAAAGUACUAUUGCCUCAAAAUCCUCAAAAUUCUGAUUUAUGAUUGUUUAUAUUUUUUAUGAGUUAAUAUGAAAGUAGGUGAAAUUUUAUUUGUGCAGAAGUUAUAUAUGGAGGGCUCACCAUGUCUAGAACAAUUUUCCUUGUUAUUGUAAAAUGAAAUUUUCACAAGUCUGAAUUAUGUGACAAAAAUUAGGACACAUGAAUAUUUUUUCAGACUUGUUGUGAAUGUUGGUGAAUGGUGAUUUAAUAAUAAGCCCAUGAUAAGUUUAAAAAUAGAAUCCCAUCCUUCAUGACCAGAUUCUAUCAGAAUAAAUGAUAUCAUCUACUUUCCAGACACAUUUAAACUGGUUAGGAUAUAGGCUUGACAUUGAUCAGUAUCUUAGCAGCAGCAAAAACAUCAAUAUAUCACAGUUCAUUAUCAGUUAGGAACAUAGUAUAAAACCCAAUUUGAUAAUUAAUAACCAUAAAAAGAGUUGAACUGCACAGUUUGAUGUGCCUUAGGUUUUACUCCAACAGUUUGUGAUUAAAUCUCUUCCACAAUGUCUUAGUUUAUUUUUAUUCGAUGCAUAAAAUCAUUUAUUAAAAAGGGUAAAAAGGGAACACUACCAAUGUGUUAGAUAUGCUGGCACUACGAUUGACUUUUGCAAAUUCUCUCGAUAAAUGAUAAUGCUAUAUGUUCUUGCACAAUUUUCCGAAUUAUGAAAUCCCUAAAACUAGGGGUGUAAAUGGAUAUAUACAGAUUCGGAUACAGUAUUUACCCGUAUCCGUUUACUUGCGAAUACCUUUAAACCAAAUACAGAUAAUAUCCGGUUUUUUCCGAAUACGGAUGCGGAUGAAUACGAAUUUUCCGAUUACCAUUUACAGCCCUAACUAUAACUAGAAUAAAAAAAUAAUGAGUUUUAAAAUAUAGUUUAUUAAUGAAUGAAUGUUAAUUUAUUUAUUUUUAAUAAAUAUUUAAAUACAAUAAUAAAUGUUCUAAAUUACAAUUCAAAUAAGUUUUCAUCAUUUUUGAAAUCCUAAAUUUCAAAAUGAAUGUUCUACUUAUUAAUGUUUAGAUGUCAAUUUUAUGUGUGUGGAGUAAUAUUGUAGCGUAUGAAUAUUUAUAAUUUAUAAUUAGAUUCAAAAGUUUACAUUGAAUAUUUAAUUAUUUUUUCUCAAAUACUUGAUUAGAACCUUAAUAAUACGUUUAUGAAAACUUUUAUUUAUAAUUUAUCCUCAAUACAUAGAUUACAAUUUACAUAUCUAUAAAAAGUUUAUUUUAUUUCAUUAUAUUUAUGGAGGGUGCGAGUUAUAAUGUAUAUGUGACAACUGACAACUAGUUAAUCCAACUUGAUCCAAAAUUUACUUUGGGCUUACUUUAAAUAUUUGGACUUCUAAUUUUUAAAUUUUUAAAUAAUUAGGUAGAUGAAAAUGAUAAAUUCUCCCCUCCACCUGAAAAUUCAUAAACGUGAAUUAAUUAUUCAACCCCCUUCUAGAUUAAUUCUAAAAUUAAUUCGGACUUAACACAUUUUAACAAUAUAAUUAUAUUAUUCAUUGUUCCCGCCUCCUAACAUUGCAAGUAAUUUUUGAAAGUAAAAAACUUAUAACAAGCUAAUAACUAUAAUUUUGUUCUUUUAGUAUAUAAUUUUCUUGGUAAAUGAUACAUUUUAGAUAUUUUAACUUUAUAAUAGUAAAAAUCUAUUAACUAUACUUAAAUCAAUUUAUUUCAGUUUAGUAAUAUUAGAAUAAAAGAGUUAUUUCCUACUUUUUAGAAGUGAAAUGAUAUAUUUUUAAAAUAAUUUUCGUAUGAUAGUGAAAACUAAUUAUAUAAGGAAUGCCACUUUAAAAAAUUAUUUUACUUAUUAUAUAAUAAUUAAUAUAUAUAUAUGUUAUUUGGAUAUGAAUUCCGGAUACGGAUCCGAAUCUGGAUAUUCUGAUUGCCGGAUAUAUUUACGGUCGGAUGUUAAACGAAUACGAAUACACCUAUAUCCAUAUUCGUAUCCGUUUAUUUGCGGAUACCUUUAAACCGAAUACGGAUAUAUCCGUUUUUUUUCGAAUACGAAUAAUAUCCGAGGGGUUUUCGAAUACGGAUGCGGACGAAUACGAAUUUUUCGGUUACCAUUUACUGCCCUACCUAAAACUGUUGUUUGUUCUAUAAUGCUAGGCUCUUCCAAGGUUAACUAGCAGAGAAAAAGUAGAAGAAAUGGUUGAUCCAGCUCUACAAGGCCAGUAUUCCCGAAAGGAUCUAAUUCAGGUCAGUUUGAAGUUUGAUCAUUAUUAUCAUUGUCAACUAAAAGAUCCAAACUAUGUAAUUCUAAUUACAGCUCCAUUGGUUAAAUACAGAUAGCUGCUAUUGCAGCCAUGUGCGUGCAAACAGAAGCUGAUUAUCGCCCUUUAAUAACAGAUGUUGUACAGUCAAUAAUUCCUUUAGUUAAGAACCUAUCUACUGUAUGUCCCUCCCCUUCGUUUAGAUUUAACCAAAGAGUAAGACCCAGGUCCUAGGAUUGUUUGGUACUUGAACUCCAUGAUCCACUUCUAAAACCAUCCGCUUCAUCAGAAAUAACUUUAAAGAUGUUUCCAAAACCUUACAACUUUAGACCAUUUCAUAAGUAGAUGGUCAAUUUUAUUUGUUGCACUGAAAAGCGUAUACUGCAUCCAGCAUGAAUAGGAUUCCGCCAGUGACCACCACUACUUUUGGAUACGAGAGCACUAAUAAUACCAUACAAAAUGAAGGAGCAGAAAAAGUACCAGUGCAUUUGGAAGCAAAAAUAUACCUACGAGGAAGUGUGGAGGAUCUGAAUUGAAAGGCACCUUAGGAACUGCGCAUUCUAACAGAGCUUUGAUUUUUGGCAUCUGGGAUUAUUAAAAUGUUCUUUAACAUAAUGAAAAUAAUGCAUAAAAUUAAUAAAGGGCAGAUUACAUGCUUUCCCCAACUUUAAGAAUUUUGUUUCUGUCAAUAGCACCUAAAUUAUACAUUUCACUAAUCACCAUAUUUCAGAGCACAUUUAAUAUUUAUGAUGGAACCAGUUCUUAAGAUUAUAACCAUGACCAUGAUCAUACUGAAAAUAGAAGUACUUAAAUGCAUGAAACUUUGGAAGUCACAUAUAUGCUGUAAAUUGAACUUCUCCAAAAUAUGAAGGCAAAAACGCUAUGUUGUGCUGGAUAUAGUACAGCUAUCCAAUUCAUGAACAGCAGAAGGGACUGAAGAAUCUUAAAUACAGAAUAUCAAGCUUCAUGGGUCAUAAUGAAAUACAUUAACAUAUAAAAAUCAACAACAAAUAAGUCUACUCAUUGGGCGACUACCUGAAUCCUACUAUAAUUUUUUUUCCCUAAAAAAAGAUAUUCUCUUAGAAGAAUAAAGAAAAUACAAGCAAAGGGGGGACGAGUCAAGAGUCCACCCACCCAUAACAAGAGGGGAAAACGGAAAAAUAACACUCACAAUGUUUUAAGAAAUAGAAAGUAAAGUAAAUUCCCUAAAGAGCAUUAUAUCACAUAAAGUAAUAAUAUACUUCCUCCGUUCUAAAUAUAAUAUCAAUAUUCAGUUUUUAAUAGUCAAUUUUUGACAUUUUCAAAUUCAAAAUUGACAUGAGUCAUAUAUGUUUUGAAAACAAUACAUUCGUAGUACUUUUAGAUAUGUUAUAAUAUUCAUAAUUGCAUUGACAAAAAUUAACUAGAUUCUUAUGAAUUCUGAAUUUGAAAAGUGUUUCAAAUUCACUUUUAAAAAGUAAUCUUAUUUAAGAAACAUAUGGAAUAUUUAUUAAAAUAUAACAUACUUUUUGCUAGGUUAAAAGCAUCCACAUGAAAUAAAAAUGAAAAUCCUUGACCUAAGAAUCUUCUCCUACCAAUUUUUUAAGUUAAUAUUAAGAUAUGAAAGGAUAUCUAAACGUUUCUAUAGGNNNNNNNNNNNNNNNNNNNNNNNNNNNNNNNNNNNNNNNNNNNNNNNNNNNNNNNNNNNNNNNNNNNNNNNNNNNNNNNNNNNNNNNNNNNNNNNNNNNNAGGCUUAAUGUAACACCCCACUACUGUAUCGGCGCAUGAGGCUUAAUUUGAUAUGUAUAUAAAGCACCAAGUUAUUACCAAUAACACUUUCAGUCAUGACCUUUUGGAUGGGCCUCUUAAAAAAACUUGGGUUUCAAGUUGCCAGUAGUAGGGACAUGAAGGCAACUAGUAUUAUCUUUAUCCCAUAAUGGCAGAGGAUGUAUCAUGGUGAAAAAACAAAUGCCACUAUUAUUCACACAAUAGCUAGAGAAACAAAGAUUCUAGAUUAUGUAGAAAUGUGUUGGGCCUUACGAGGACGUCAAGUAUUUAAGUGGAAGAGAUUAAAACACCCAAGUAACAUCGAAACAUGCGAAUUAAUUUGAUAUGUAUAUAAGUUAUCAAACUACUACCAAUAAUAUUUUCAGUCAUGUCCUUUGGGUAGGUCUAUGGUGGGCUAAAGGUCACCCAAGAAGAUACUGUUGGGCCAACACGUUGAGUCCUGUAUGACUUGAUUUAAUUCAGAUUCGAGAUUUGACCCGGGUCGUUGCAGAAAACAUAUAACUCUAACUAUCCACUACAAUUGUAUAAAUGAUGAUGUAAGUACUUGACCUACUACGCAGAAAAACAGAUUCUGAUUAUGUUAGCUGAUGUAACCUCUCAACAAUCUUAAAUAUUCCAAGAUGUUAGAAGAAAUCUCUUUCAAUACAUUUGUGGAAAUCUUUCUUCUGCUGUACCAAUCCUCCAAAUAUGUUCCAAAAAAAAUUCCAGAUCUCCAAAACUCCUUUCAGCUGUAAUUUCAGAAACAAGAAUUAUUCUUACCUCCAGAUUAUUCCAAUUUCCAGAAUUUUCCAAUAAUUCAAAUUUCAAAAUAUUCUUCAAGAAGGAUUAGACGUUAGAGACCAACAUGUUUAUUCAGAACGUCAAAUAUGCAUUAUUAUUCAGUAACUCCAAAGCUUAGCUAUCGAUAGAAAAAUCGAUCUUUCUGAGGAUAAGUAACAAUCACAAGUUAUAAAUCAGUAUCACAUAAUUGCAGGGUUCCAUUUGAAAAGGAAAGCAAAAUAAAUGAAGUACACACCUGCAAGUAGCUUCUUACAUGACCAAUGCAGGACAUCUUUAUGAAAUGCCUUCCUGCACACCUAGAGAGAGAAAGAAAAGAGGGGAGGGAGAGAGAGAGAGAGAGAAAUCACGUCAAUAGAUGUAGAUGUUGUCACCAAAUUCCAAAAUUAGUUAAAAGGUAAGUUCUGUACAUUAGAUAGUGGCCUCGGAACAUCAUUUUUCCAGCCCCCUCUAAAUGCCAGAAUGGAAUCUAAACUUGGUACAAAUCAAAUUGAGUUGUCAGGCAAUGUACUCUGCUCAUUCUGGCAAGGACAAGCAUUAUCAUAUUCUUCUAGUCUGUGCAAGCAGCAAAAGAGCAGAUUACAAAGUCAUAAUCUUGGUUUUUUUAAGAGGUGAAAUAAGCCUAUGCAAAACAUAUACAAGGUCAAUUACCGAAAAUUCUACAAGAUUGAACUUUGAACUUGCAAAAACAAGUCAAUUCUCCAGUCUCCACACCUUAAGGAUCCCUAAAACUGAAGCACAAAAAAGCAAUGGCUUCAACACUAGUUGCACAACAUUUUGACAGCAAUGUAUCCAACACAAGCACAUUCGAAGUCCAAACUCAUACAUGAUUUUAACAGCCUGGAAGAAGUUUGAGAGGACAACAAUGCUAAGAAUUGAAGUACUUCUGAUGUAGGACGGAUUUAAGAUAAAUAAUUAAUAGAAAAUAAAUUAGCAUUUAAACUCCACAUUUAAAUCUCUAGGACGAAUCAACACUAAAAAUGAAUAAAAUAUCUCUACGUAUGAAUGAUAAAUAGUCUGUAGUUAAAAAAUUGUGUGGAUUACAUCACUAUUUAGAGACUCAAAACCCUAAUGGAAUAAUAAAAGUACUAAACGAUUAAAAUACCCUUAUUAAUAAUUCCUAAUUAAUGUUUUUAAUCCCCACAAAUAAAUAAUUACAUCAAUUACUCUUACAUUAAACAUAAUAAAAACUCUAAAUAAUAAGAAUUCUUUGUUAAAGUCUUGACUUGUGAUCCUCAUCAUUCUCAAUUUAAGGUAAAGAAUUAAUGGAAAAUAAAUUAGAAUUUAAACUCCAUAUUUAAAUCACUAUGGGCUCUCAAGUGUAUCAACUCCACGAAUCAAUGCUAAUAUGGAUAAAAUACCUCUACAAUAUGUAUAAUAAUAAUCAACUUCAAUAUCAAUAGUCUAUAAUCUAAAGGACUUGUGGGGAUUACACUAUUUAAAAAGACACGAAACCUUAAUAUUACUUGGGGAAUAAUAAAAGUACUAAACAACUAAAAUACCCUUAUUAAUAAUCCUAAUCAAUAAUUAAUGUCCUAAAUCCCCACUAAUAAAUAAAUUACAUCAAUUAGUCUUACAUUAAACAUAAUAAAAACUCCAAAAUACAAGAAUUCUUUGAAAGUCUUGACUUGUGAUCCUUAUCUCCAAAACUCAACCUCGAGUUUUAUAACAUGAGAGAAUAAUCCAUGAACUUCUUUGCACCGAAAGAGCAUUUUGGAACACCUUUGACACCAUCUUCACAUGAUAAGGCUCAAACAAUUUCGGGAAGAGAAUUGAUGAAAGUGUCACUUUUGUAUUCAUAGGUGUUGAAAAGUAAUUUUUUGAAAUAACGAGCCCAACAUUAUCAACUUGGACUAGAUCAACUUCGCAAACUGUCUUCUCUUCGUUGACAAACAACUUAAAAGUAAUUUCAAUGUCGUCCUCAAUUUGUGGGUCACAUAUAAUCUCUAGUUCAACUUUUGAAACUUUAAGAAUUCCAUGAACAUGAACAUGUUAUAACUGUCUGUAGCCCAUAAUUGUGAACAUCCUCUUUUUCGAUCUCUUGCUCUUUCUCUGCUCGAAUAUGUGCCAGAAAGUCAAUAAGGCCAUCUUUUAUAGAAUGUCAUAUUUUAUAAAAAUGAUUUCAUCUUUUAUAGAAGAACAUAUAGAAACAGUUUCACGUGUAGCCUUUUGAAGUUCUUUUGUUUUAGUUUGUUUGACGUUUCUUUGCUUCAACAUUUAUUAGUUAAAGUCUUGACUUGUGAUUCCCAUCAACUUCCCAGUAAAUAAAAAAAAAUUAAAUAGUUAAUAAACCAGCAAAAAGACAUAAGAUUGACCUGUUUUUAAAGAAAUAAUGACGUUGGAAAAAAAUUGGCACCACAAACUAUGAAAAUGAGGAAGGAAUUUGAAGUUAUGUUGAUUAUAUUUAUAUCAGAUCGCCAAACAACAAUAAUCCCAGGAAUCCUCUGUUAACCAUAAUCUCUUCCUAUAAAUUAACUAUUCUUUUUUUUNNNNNNNNNNNNNNNNNNNNNNNNNNNNNNNNNNNNNNNNNNNNNNNNNNNNNNNNNNNNNNNNNNNNNNNNNNNNNNNNNNNNNNNNNNNNNNNNNNNNUGCUGGUGGUCGGAGUGGGAAGUAGGAAAUAACAUAGACGAGAUACUUUUAGAUAGAAAAGAUAUUUGAAAAGGGAGAGAUUACAAGCAGCAGGGGGACAAGGAGUCCACCAUCAUUGUUUAAUAAGUGGAAAUAAAGAGAGAGUGCUCCAAAAAUAGCAUCUCUCCAAUCUCUACAAAUAUCUUAAACACAAAAACCUAAAGACCAGCAGUUAAACAAAAGAAAUAUAGUUGUUCAUAAAAUACCUAGGCUUACCGCUCAUUCCAAAUUUCCCAAACAAUAGAAAAGUUGAACACUUUCAAAACAUAUCGUGUCCUUUCUUGCAAAGCCUCUAAAGUGAGUAAGUAGCAAAUCCUCCACCAAAGCGGGGCAAACCUACCCCUUCCCAAACGCACCAAAUAUAGAGUUCAAAAACCCCAAGCAACAUGAAAAUGCAAAAAGCAAAUUUAGAAACAUACUAUAUAAUAGAACUAUUACAAUGCUUAAAUAGAAAACCUAAUCAGUGUUCUAAAAGUCGCUAGUCGGUCCCAUGUCGGUUGGCUACCGACUAGCGACUAGGGGAUUAAUCGGCUAGUCGGAUUUUCAAACACCACAGUCAGAUUUUAAUAAUUUAAUUUAUAACUGAAGUUGAAAAAAUUUAAAAAUUAAAAUGAAAUAUUACAAUUAACUAAAAAAAUUAACUAAUUUAAUUUAUCCAACCUUUUCUUUAAUGCCCACUAAGGAACUAAUUAACUAAAACAAAAAAAAUUAAAAAAUUAAUAAUUUUGCCCACUUUGGCCAGUUUGCCGACAAACUGCUUAUGCCUUAUAAGCCUUAUAUCAGUAUUCAGUAGAUUGUAAACUAUUUACAAAAAAAAUAAUAGAGAAACUGAGAGAGAGAGACGAGCCGGAAAAGAACUACCUGAUCGCCGAAGAUGAUGAAGAUGAAGAGCAGCAGUCGAAGAUGAAGAGCAGGUGAGCAGCAGUCGAGUCGAAGAAGGAGAAGCAGCAGCAGUUGUCGUUCCAGUCGUCGGCAGCAACAGUCGUCGUCGACAACAGUUGUCGUCGGAGAAGCAGCCGCAGUAGCAGUCGGCGUCGUCGGUCGAAGAAGGAGAAGAAGCAGCAGCAGUUGCCGAUCCAGUCGUCGUCGUCGGAGAAGCAGCCGCAGUAGCAGUCGUCGGUCGAAGAAGAAGUCGUCGUCGGUCGAAGAAGAAGCAGCAACAGUCCGAUUUGUUUCGAUUUGCCCCGACUUUACCGACUAGUCGACGACUUGAUCCCGACUAAGUCGGCCAACGACUAAAUCAAAGGACUAGGGCCUGGUCGACUCGGCGAGCCUCCAACCCCGACCUAGUCGCCAACUAGGCCGACUUUUAGAACACUGAACCUAAUACUUUGAGACUAAGUAAAAACCUUAAUUUAAAAAGGAAAAAAUCUCCUAAUUAAAAUCUACUACUAUAAUUAAAUCUUCUAGAAUGCCCUACUAAAAUAGUUACAUUAAUAGUUCAAUAUUUAUCUCUAAAUAACAAAACAAAAUUAAUAAUAAAUUUCUUAAUUUUCCUCUUCAGUACCACAUCAUUAUCCCCGCCUUUGAAAAAAACUCAUCCUUGAGUUUUGAAAUAUCACAAAAUAAUAAAGGGCGAAUGACAAAAUUGUCCCCCCAAGUUUGGAUGAAAAUCAAUUUCAUACUCAAAGUUUGGGAAUCUUCAAUCAAUAUCUCAAAUUAUUUAAAAACUCCAAUUGUGUUCCUUUUGGCUUGAGCACCCAAUUUUAUUGCCGUAGAUAGACGUGUCUACAAAUUAGCUAUAUCCUACGAAUUGAAUACAGAUGGAUACGUAUAUUGUAUUUUAUACGCAUAUAUAUAAUCUCAAUAAGAUUACGCAUUUACUUGCAGCUUCAAAAGGAGUGAGGAGCAACAUUGAGGGUUUUACGCAAUUUUCAAAAGCAAUCUAGGGUUCUACAAAGAUUGAAAACAAUCGAGUAUAGAUACACUUCUGAUUUCGAAAAUGGAGUCUCACAAAUGGAGUUUGAGACCUGUCGGGCAGGAUGUGCCACAAUAUUAGGGUAAUAUACUUAAAUAUAUGUUUGUCUGGUUUAUUGUUUGUUGAUGGAAUCUUGCAAUUAUUAAUUGAUGGUGAAAAAUGACGCNNNNNNNNNNNNNNNNNNNNNNNNNNNNNNNNNNNNNNNNNNNNNNNNNNNNNNNNNNNNNNNNNNNNNNNNNNNNNNNNNNNNNNNNNNNNNNNNNNNNUGGACCCUCUGCUUUUGUUCAAUUUUUAUAAAGCUUUGUUAUUUCUGCACAAUGUUUGUUUGUUGUCUAUCCGUGUGGUCCCUUUUUGUUGUGUUCUGAUCAUCUAUUUAAAAACAAUUGUACUCUUUUGUGCUUGCAUUUCAUGCAGAUGUUGAUCGUUUGAAGGCUUUAUUUACUGUGAAAAUGUGUUAUUGGGGGGAAUUUAAAGACAAGGGAUAUGUAGGUGGGGUACAUGAAUAUGUAGACUUUUGUAGAAUAGACCUUAUAACCACUUGGGGGAUAUGGCUACGGAAAUGGGUUUCUAUGGAGCAUUAAACUUUCAUCAUUGGUGUGUAGAGAGGGGAUUAAGGGAAAUCAUAACUAAUGAUAACAUUAAGAACAUAGGUCCUUAUUUGCCCAUUCACAGACAAGUAACAAUCAUCCUUGUUCAUAUGGAGCAUCUGUCAGUUGCUCCUCCUCUUCCUAAAUGGAGUCGGGUUGAGAUAAAUUUAGAUGGAGAUAUAUCAUAAACUGUCACCACAACUUAAUAUAACUUCAACUAAAAAAAAUAGUUAAAACCAUUACUUUUUACGCGCCUCUAAUCUUUAUCAUCAUGGUAACGAGGGAAUCACACCACGUCUUUAAUCUGCAAAUUAUUGCAAGUUUGAGCACGACAGCCUAACAACAGUUUUUAUGCAUCACGCUCAUACAUACUAUUCAUUUCAAUCAUGCAUCAUAUUCUUCAUGCUAUGCAUUUGAUACAUGCAUCAUAAUUCUUAUGCAAUGUGACUAUAUAUGCUUCAUACGUCUCAUGAUAUGCAUUUUUAUAUGCGAGUUUUCAAUUUCAUCAUAUUGAAUUCAAAUUAUACUUCAUGCAUUAUCAAGCUUAUCAUAUCACGUACAAGCUUAUCAAGUCGUCGCCUAGGCGACACGCUUAGUCGUCCGAGCGGUAUAAAAUUUCAAGGCGUCGGGGCGACUUGGGUGCAGAUUCAAGAGGCGAGCGACUAGGCUGCGACUUGGACGACUGGCGAGCGACUUGGACGCCUACAUAGCUAAGCGGUCGACUUGGUUCGACCCGAUUCUUACUGGGUUAAAAAAAAAACCUAAAGUUCGACUAAAUAGUCUGAACUCUGAAGUUAGGGAAAUCGAUCGAUUCGGAAGAUUGGAGAGGGAGAAACGAGACCAAACAGGGAGAUCUCAGUUGUUCGACUAGCUUCGGCGAGUGAAGUGAGGGAAGAAGUACCUACCAUCUCUGACUUGCUUCGGCGAGAGGCAACUCAGUUCAGCGACUUGCAGGUAUGCAGUAUGCUUCCUUCUUCUCUUCAUCUUCUUCUCGUCUUCUGAGUUCCGACUUCCUAUCUUCUUCUCGUCUUCUUCUGGAUGAUGAGGAUGUUGAUGUUGAUGAUAUUAUGGCCGAAGAGUAACUACUGUUUCGAGUGAUGAUGCCAUUGCUGGGAGAGAUGAUGAUGAUUUGAUCUUUGAUGAUUUUGUUUGAUAGCUUGAGUGAUAUUUUCAUUAUGAAAAAUGAGAAUUUUGAGUUAAAGAAUACUGAAUUUUUAUGACUUUAUUUUCAUUUCUAUAUUAUGUUUGUUUUUGGCAAUGUCACAAUGAACAUAUUAAAUAUAUAAAAUUUUAUAUGUAUAAAAUUUACAUUGUUAACGACUAGUCAAGCGCUUUGUCGCCUAAGCGCUUAAGCUCCCGGCUGUCGCCUCGCCUCGACUUAGCGCCUUGAUAACUAUCAACAACAAUUGCACAACAGCCUAGUCACGGUCAACGCUAAACCGGAAUGUCCUCAACAUAGCGACAUACCAUAUAUCAACGUCAAUUCAGAUGUUGAACCGGUCAGUUUUCAUGCCUUGGAGGUGAGCAACACUCAGUACCAUGCUAUUGGGACGCCACCCCUCACACCCAAGAUUUCUGCCGAAGUAAUGUCGGCUACUCAAGAAAUAAUAUCCUUGGGUCAUCAGCCAGGACAAGGGUUGGGUAAAGAUCAUCAGGGUAUUAGGUACCCCAUCCAAGUUAUCAGUCAAACUGGGACAGCUGGGCUAGGUUAUCCGGCUAGCUUUAGUCUUAAUUUGACUUCAACAAUUGCACAAUAGCAUUGCAAUCCAAAAUACAUAUUUCAACAUUCUCAUCAAAAUUCUAUCAUAAUACGAUAACAAGUGCACGUAAGCAAUAUCAAGUUCACUUAACACAAACAAAACUGAAAAAACUUGCCUUUAUUGCAAAUUGCUACCGGGUCAACUUGAUAUUGCGUUCUUGAAGCUAUGUUAUCUCGUAUCGCACCUAUAUAGCAUGCAUAAGGUUGUUAUAUAGGUUAAUGAAUAUAUAUUCCACUAACUUUAAUUUAAACUCAAGUCAACUAUAUCCGUUAUGGCUAAUUUGUUCCAUUAACAUUCCUCGUAUUAUUUAUGUAAUGCAAUUAGAAUCAUUACAUAGCUUAAUGUAUCAAUAAUUCAUGAACUUCGUUUUAAACUUGUUUUUCCCAAGCUUAAUAUUUCAAUACAUUGGAUUUAUUAAUAAUAUUAUAGACUAAAUAUACAUAUGAUAUAAUUUUUUAUUAUUUUUUAUGAAUUUAUUUGCUCAGCGUCAAAAUCGGAUCGAAAACGGACGGCGAAACGCUGCCUGGCAGCUAGCGCCAAGCGCCUGCACCAGCGUUGCGCGCUGCUGGGAUAGGCAGCCUGGUGUUGCUGCCUUGCAUUGGCAGCUCAACCUUAUUUUCUUGCCCACUUCGCGAUUUCAUAACCUGAAAUCCAUACGCUCGAUCAAAUCCAAUUUUUAAUAUGUUCUAGAUGGUACUUCAUAGUAUUUUAUAAAAAUACUACCUGAUUAAAACAAGUUUUCUAUGGCAUAGAUUCAACGGGUCAAAAAGUCCAGAAAUCUGCAGAUUUCGCUUAGCCUCGUGCCUACUUUGCCAUUUUCCAUCUUUUAAUCUACAAGUCCGUUAACCUCCAAAUUUUUACAGCAUCAAGAUGGUACUACAUAGUAUUUUUUAAAAAUACUACUUGACCAAAACAAGCUUUUUAAAGCAAAUUUACAGUUGCUCAAAAGUGGCUGGUCAGCCCAGAUUCUGCAGAUUUCCAGCAACUUUGCUAUUUUCCUACUUACUUUGAAAUUUCAUAUCUUGCAAUCCACACAUCCGAUUGCUCUCAAAUUUAAAUAUGUUAUAAAUGGUACUUCACGGUAUUUUACAAAAUUAUAACAUAACCAAUUCGGAUUCUUUAAGUUAUAGAUACAGGGACUCAAAGGUACCCUGUUAGCUCAGUUUUUCACUUAAACUCAAAUGUUAGAAAUUCUUUAAAACUUGUUUUGAACCUGAUUUGACUCACUCAAUCAACAUAGUUUACAUCAUAAUACAUAUACAAAGGUAACCUAGCCCCAAGCUUUGCUUAAUUCUCCAUUUUUAGGCAUUAAACCUCUUUGAGGUGAAUUUUCAAACACCUUGAAGGCAUAGCUUAAAGUUUCAGAUUCCAUAGGGGUUCAGGCAUGUUCCAGCCCAAAAUUUUACAGCCUUAUUACUCCGCACAACAUAUUCAACCUCCCAUCUCAUCAAUUCCACAACCAACACAGAGCAACAUAUCGACAACUAUACAUACUAUUUACUCACUUUCUAUGAAAAUAACCAAAACAUAAGACUAACCUUUGUUUGGUGUAAUAACUGAAAAAUUCCUCCUUUGAGCUGCACUUUACCCCAAUUCGUCUUUAAUUUCAGUUAUUAGUCGCAAUUCCUUGAGAAAUUGGUGGAGUCUUCAGCCCCAAUUUUGAUUAAUGCUUAUAUUUAGGCAAUUGUAGGAGGAAAGUUUAAGAAAUUUAAGAGAGAGAGAGUCAAGGUAUGGAACGGAUGAAAAGGAAGAGCUGAAAAUGGAUUUUUAGCUUAUAAGCUUCCUGAUCUCUGUUAUUCAUCAGACUUUAGACUGCUUAGUGUAGGAUUGAUCACAUAAUUUCAUGCCAGCUCCUGCUUGUUUUAUAUGACUCAUAACAUGGCUACACCUCUUAUUUCUCAGCAUGCUUAUAUGUAUAUUACUUUGUACAUAAUAUCUAUUUAAUAAAAUACAAAUAAUUUUAAAUUUUUCGUUCAUUCAAUAAAUUAUUUGAGCCGUCAUAAAUUCGUCCGUCUAAAGAGUAUCGGAGGCACAGGAGACAUCUAGUAUGUAC
RNAcentral lists this long non-coding RNA (15142 nucleotides) under Panax ginseng (ginseng). RNAcentral describes it as "long non-coding RNA (PGIN_LNC016697)". The record is from RNAcentral. Lineage: Eukaryota; Viridiplantae; Streptophyta; Magnoliopsida; Apiales; Araliaceae.